Molecule: ribosomal RNA, 903 nt
Filed under: uncultured organism
Description: bacterial SSU rRNA
Rfam family: Bacterial small subunit ribosomal RNA
Source: RNAcentral
UGGAUCCAGACUUUGAUUAUGGCUCAGGACGAACGCUGGCGGCGCGCCUAACACAUGCAAGUCGAACGAGAGAGAGGGAGCUUGCUUCCUCGAUCGAGUGGCGAACGGGUGAGUAACGCGUGAGGAACCUGCCUCAAAGAGGGGGACAACAGUUGGAAACGACUGCUAAUACCGCAUAAGCCCACGGCUCGGCAUCGAGCAGAGGGAAAAGGAGCAAUCCGCUUUGAGAUGGCCUCGCGUCCGAUUAGCUAGUUGGUGAGGUAACGGCCCACCAAGGCGACGAUCGGUAGCCGGACUGAGAGGUUGAACGGCCACAUUGGGACUGAGACACGGCCCAGACUCCUACGGGAGGCAGCAGUGGGGAAUAUUGCACAAUGGGGGAAACCCUGAUGCAGCGACGCCGCGUGGAGGAAGAAGGUCUUCGGAUUGUAAACUCCUGUUGUUGAGGAAGAUAAUGACGGUACUCAACAAGGAAGUGACGGCUAACUACGUGCCAGCAGCCGCGGUAAAACGUAGGUCACAAGCGUUGUCCGGAAUUACUGGGUGUAUAGGGAGCGCAGGCGGGAGAUCAAGUUGGAAGUGAAAUCCAUGGGCUCAACCCAUGAACUGCUUUCAAAACUGAUUGUCUUGAGUAGUGCAGAGGUAGGCGGAAUUCCCGGUGUAGCGGUGGAAUGCGUAGAUAUCGGGAGGAACACCAGUGGCGAAGGCGGCCUACUGGGCACCAACUGACGCUGAGGCUCGAAAGUGUGGGUAGCAAACAGGAUUAGAUACCCUGGUAGUCCACACCGUAAACGAUGAUUACUAGGUGUUGGAGGAUUGACCCCUUCAGUGCCGCAGUUAACACAAUAAGUAAUCCACCUGGGGAGUACGACCGCAAGGUUGCAACUCAAAGGAAUUGACGGA